UACCAGACUCCUACGGGAGGCAGCAGUGAGGAAUAUUGGUCAAUGGGCGCGAGCCUGAACCAGCCAAGUCGCGUGAGGGAUGACGGCCCUACGGGUUGUAAACCUCUUUUGUCAGGGAGCAAUUGGCGCUACGUGUAGCGUUAUCGAGAGUACCUGAAGAAAAAGCAUCGGCUAACUCCGUGCCAGCAGCCGCGGUAAUACGGAGGAUGCGAGCGUUAUCCGGAUUUAUUGGGUUUAAAGGGUGCGUAGGCGGAAUGCCAAGUCAGCGGUAAAAUCGCGGGGCUCAACCUCGCUCCGCCGUUGAAACUGGCGUUCUUGAGUGGGCGAGAAGUAUGCGGAAUGCGUGGUGUAGCGGUGAAAUGCAUAGAUAUCACGCAGAACUCCGAUUGCGAAGGCAGCAUACCGGCGCCCAACUGACGCUGAAGCACGAAAGCGUGGGUAUCGAACAGGAUUAGAUACCCCAGUAU
This 467-nucleotide ribosomal RNA is filed under the name uncultured bacterium. Its description in RNAcentral is "bacterial SSU rRNA". It matches the Rfam family "Bacterial small subunit ribosomal RNA", at positions 329 to 793 of the family's 1533-position model. The record is from RNAcentral.